This is a long non-coding RNA of Budorcas taxicolor (takin), 1248 nucleotides long. RefSeq lists it as uncharacterized. The transcript has 3 exons. NCBI's taxonomy places the organism in Eukaryota, Metazoa, Chordata, Mammalia, Artiodactyla, Bovidae. The record is from RefSeq and is a predicted model, not a curated record.
CACAUCCCACCAAAUCCAGGCCACCAGCUUCCUUGUUCACAUGUGGAGACUAAGAAGCUCCAGAGACAAGAAGGGACUUUGCCCAGGGUAACCCAACAACCAGCCAAGCAGACAUCGAAUCUGUCUUUUGACCUGAAACAAAUCUCAGUGAAAGUCUGAGCUGAGAACGCUGAGAUCCCCUAUGCACCAGCGGAGUUGGCUGGCAUGCGCACAGGGGAGGUGGGAAAGAUGCAGCCUGCUGAAGACCCAGAGGAAAUGAUGCCGCUCACGUGGGGAUCCCAGACUGUGCACCAAGCUGUGGGCUGGUGGCUCUGGCAGAGUGCCGGUCCAGCCCCCUGCCCAUCAUGCUAUGAACUCGGCCAUCUCUGGGGACUCUACACUCUGGAGGCUGAGAGACCCAAGCGGUCAUGUUUCCUACGGCUGCCCCAGGUAGGCGACACGGCCCUUCCCUUGUUAGUUUCCGGCUCCGUUUGUGAGAGGGGAUGUGCCUCCUUCAGGACGCAAGCGGACCAAGUAGCAAGCAUGCUAUGAUAUGUGGAGAUGAAUGGGGAGCUGGCGGUUGAGGGAGCACAUUGGUUUGCUAUAGAGCAGAGCAAUACAGCCGCAGAACAAUACAGUGCAAGAAGGUUGCACCAGGAGGCUCGACCCAUUUGCUGUGUGACCCUGGGCAACUCACUCAGCAUCUCUGGGCCUCAGUUGCUACAUCCACAAGAUGAAAUAUUAUAUGUCAUCUCUGGCGUUCUGUCCAGCAUGCAGUUCUACUAUGGAUAAGUCUGUGUACUUCAUAAAUUGUUUUUGUCUCUCCAGACCCGUGAGACUGCCGAAAACUCUGCCUGGCCUGUGUCAGCACGUGCCUUCUGCUCAGUCUCUUUAUCCAGCUACUUUGAAACUGGCAAAUUCACGGGGAAGCACAUUGACUUCAGGCUCUCAUACUCUGGGAUUUCCAGCACUCAACUCCUGGCUUCCUGGAUAGCUCUUUGAAGCCUUCUAACAGAUUUUAAUUUUCUUUUCAACCACUUUAUCUAGGUCUUCUAGUUGUUUAUUGAGAGGGUUGAUCUCUCUCUACAAGUUAGUUUGCCACAGGCGGAAGCAGAAGUCCCUUCAUACGUUAGUACUGGGCCAGGAGGUUGCUGACUCCAGGAAGAAUCAGACCUUAUCCCUGACCUCCAGUUGCUCACAGUCCCGAGGAGAGGAAAGGAAAAUAAAAAGACGAACAUAACACAGUAUGAGAAAUGCAACAGGUCCAAG